AUUGUAUAGUAUUGUUGCCAAAUAAUACCCGACAUUUAUUUGCAGAUUUGGCUAUGCAUAGAAUUAUAGGAAAUAUACGGCAGACAUGAUAACAUAAGAUAUAUCCCCCAAAAUUAACAUUGCGAUAUCGUAGUACCGGUCCUCGAUUUUGGCGUUUCAAUAGUUAGUGUUUGCUUUAUUUUCGUGUGUUUAACUUUGGCACUUUCAUAUGAGGCACCAAAUAAAACAAAAUAAAACUACAACCAAAAUAACCCAAUUUACGGUA
RNAcentral lists this long non-coding RNA (265 nucleotides) under Mytilus galloprovincialis (Mediterranean mussel). The record is from RNAcentral. Lineage: Eukaryota; Metazoa; Mollusca; Bivalvia; Mytilida; Mytilidae.